CGCCGCGUGAGUGAAGAAGGUUUUCGGAUCGUAAAACUCUGUUGUAAGGGAAGAACACGUACGAGAGUAACUGCUCGUACCUUGACGGUACCUUAUUAGAAAGCCACGGCUAACUACGUGCCAGCAGCCGCGGUAAUACGUAGGUGGCAAGCGUUGUCCGGAAUUAUUGGGCGUAAAGCGCGCGCAGGCGGUCCUUUAAGUCUGAUGUGAAAGCCCACGGCUCAACCGUGGAGGGUCAUUGGAAACUGGGGGACUUGAGUACAGAAGAGGAAAGCGGAAUUCCAAGUGUAGCGGUGAAAUGCGUAGAGAUUUGGAGGAACACCAGUGGCGAAGGCGGCUUUCUGGUCUGUAACUGACGCUGAGGCGCGAAAGCGUGGGGAGCAAACAGGAUUAGAUACCCUGGUAGUCCACGCCGUAAACGAUGAGUGCUAAGUGUUAGGGGGUUUCCGCCCCUUAGUGCUGCAGCUAACGCAUUAAG
RNAcentral lists this ribosomal RNA (478 nucleotides) under bacterium a26(2011). RNAcentral's name for it is "SSU rRNA". It matches the Rfam family "Bacterial small subunit ribosomal RNA", at positions 395 to 864 of the family's 1533-position model. The record is from RNAcentral.